UACAGAGGUCUCAAGCGUUGUUCGGAUUUACUGGGCGUAAAGCGCACGUAGGCGGAUCGUUAAGUCGGGGGUGAAAUCCUGGAGCUCAACUCCAGAACUGCCUUCGAUACUGGCGAUCUCGAGUCCGGAAGAGGUGAGUGGAACUCCUAGUGUAGAGGUGGAAUUCGUAGAUAUUAGGAAGAACACCAGUGGCGAAGGCGGCUCACUGGUCCGGUACUGACGCUGAGGUGCGAAAGCGUGGGGAGCAAACAGG
Molecule: ribosomal RNA, 253 nt
Filed under: uncultured bacterium
Lineage: Bacteria
Description: partial 16S ribosomal RNA
Rfam family: Bacterial small subunit ribosomal RNA
Source: RNAcentral